This 915-nucleotide long non-coding RNA is filed under the name Trifolium pratense (red clover). Its description in RNAcentral is "long non-coding RNA (TPRA_LNC001103)". The record is from RNAcentral. Lineage: Eukaryota; Viridiplantae; Streptophyta; Magnoliopsida; Fabales; Fabaceae.
UAUACAUAUGAUUUUUAUUUUUUAGGUUUUCGGGAAGUUUGAGGCAAACCUUCUCAGACAAGGCAGAUUGGACUGUAUUUGCAUCUGAGGAAAUGAGGGAGACAACUUGGUAUGUUGUUGAAGAACCAGCAGUUUGAGUGUCAAAGAAACCAACUUCUUGUCUUAAGACUGAUUUUAGGUAUUCCAUUCUCAUUCUAGAAGCCUGUCUCUCAGCUGUUCUAGUCCAACAUAUUCCUUCUGUAUAUCAAAUUAGUAUCAAGCAAGAAAACUAGUUAGCUUUAUUUUACUAAAAUUUUCUAGCCAUACUAUUUGCAUUAUUAUUUCCAAGUUGAUUUGAGUUCUGCAAGGAAUAUAACUGAGCAGAGAUAUCAGAUAUGAAGUGAACAGCUUACCAAUAAAAGCUGAAAUUCCAACUCCAAUUGCAACACAUAAUAGCUUGGAUGCAUACUGAAAAGAGGAAAGUAAAAUGGUAUAUAAGAAAUUGUUGUGUAAUCAUAUCCCAAAAAUUAAAUUGUGUAAAUAAGUGGAAUCAGAUAUGAGUGUGCUGACAACUUUUUAAGUUCAAAAUGAAUUUCUCCUGCAAUAGUCUAUAGCAAAAGAGCAGUAAUUUUAGGGGACAGGCUCACCUUGUUCACAUCAUGCUGUGUUAUACGGCUAUUCUUGUCGCCAUAGGCAUUGAUCACAUCACUAAGAAUGUACAUCAUAAGAGGAUUCUGCAGACCAUCACCCAGGCUGCCUAGAGUUCCAAAGAACAUCAACAAUUUAUCGACUCCAUCUGCGUAACGAAACAUGCUAUUGCUCCCCAUUUCCCCCUAUAUAUGGACUCUCCCUUUUGGUGGGAAGUAUUUUUAGAAAGAUUCACUAAGCUUUAUCAACUUAGAAAGACUUAUAUAAACUUAGUAAGAUACUCUUAGA